CGAGAACUCACUCUACUGUUAUCUACCCCAUCAACUCCCCUGUUCAAACAAUCAACACCUGAAUUUGAAAGCUUAGUCAGCUUCCGCCCUUCCACAUUUCUACCGAUCCUCCCUCCCAAACUAAAAUCCUCGAAACUUCUCGAAGAACCAAACUCAGAAUCCAGAAACUCACCAGCUGGUCCAAACACGCUACAAACGCUGGGUGUACCCAUCACCGAGUUUGCGCUACAGUACCGAUCAAAC
RNAcentral lists this long non-coding RNA (243 nucleotides) under Linum usitatissimum (flax). RNAcentral describes it as "long non-coding RNA (LUSI_LNC000498)". Lineage: Eukaryota; Viridiplantae; Streptophyta; Magnoliopsida; Malpighiales; Linaceae. The record is from RNAcentral.